GAUGAACGCUAGCGGCAGGCUUAAUACAUGCAAGUCGAGGGGCAGCAUGUCCCGCAGCAAUGCGGGAUGAUGGCGACCGGCAAACGGGUGCGGAACACGUACACAACCUUCCUUUAAGCGGGGAAUAGCCCAGAGAAAUUUGGAUUAAUACCCCAUAGAAUAGUUGGAUGGCAUCAUUUGACUAUUAAAGAUUUAUCACU
RNAcentral lists this ribosomal RNA (200 nucleotides) under uncultured bacterium. Its description in RNAcentral is "partial 16S ribosomal RNA". It matches the Rfam family "Bacterial small subunit ribosomal RNA", at positions 28 to 219 of the family's 1533-position model. The record is from RNAcentral.